CGCCGCGUGCACAGCCGGCGCUCGUUCCAGCGGCCUCGCGCGCGCCGCCGCCCCGCGCUGCUGAAGCUGGCGUCGCUGCCGCCCUCGUGCCACGCACCGCCGCACGCGCUGGAGCAGGAGGAGACGCCGCUGUGACGCCGCCGGCGGGAAGGGUCCGCGCGCCAUGGCUGGCCGCUCGCGCCCUUUCCCACCGCUGCCGGGAAACCGAGGCUCGCCCCAAACGGAUUUGCGUGAAACCAGCCCAAGGUUCCGGGCCCCCCCCCAACCGAGCCCCGCGCCCGGGGACUGACUCGGGGACCGACUCAGGGACCUCCCGAGCGCCAGGACUCAGGGCCCGACCUGCAGCGGCUGCAGGCCCAGCGCCCGCAAGCGGCCUGGGCCGAGCGCCGUUUCCAGGCCCUCGCCAGGUCUUUGAACUGCAGAUCAAGUGUUGACAGUCACCAGUCAGGAGGAGUUCUUAAAGAGUUUUAUGUUGACUGAAUAUUGCACAUUGAGUCCCCAUUGAGUCCCUGGUGGGAAAAGUCCACAAUUUCCCAUUGAUAGCUUUUUACUGUUGUGAAAAAGGGAAGCGUCAGCCACACAAAAGCCUCCAUGACCGCUGCUUCGGAGAAGCUCUCGACCCUAACUGCAGUCACUGUUACUUGGAUCAGAUCAAGCGCAGUGACUUUUUGGGAUUCAGUGGUCAUUCUCCACACUUCGUAGCCAUUUCAACCAACUCUGAGCACAAAAUGCAGCCAUCCUCUAUGCAGCAAGCCCUGCCCAGUCAGUGACCCUACUGGACAGAUCCAAGGCCAGCCCUGGUUCCCUGCUGCAGCCACCGUCCUGACGUUCAUCGGAGCAGGCCGGGGCCUGGCCUUCCCGGCACAAGUGGCUGUUCUGACAGGCCCCCAGUUUGUCCCAUCUGAACUGCUGGGAGGUUUCCGGGUGGCCAGAGGAGCAAAGCUGCCUUCCAAGUGCCUGUCUGUGCCUGGGAGAACAGAGCAGGAGCGUCGUGCGGCCCACAGCGCAGUGCGUGGCGAUUCCAGGCGCUGAACAACUCCCCUGGACCCUUGGGCCUGCAUCUGACUCCCGGCUGCAGAGUCAGAAGCUGAGUCCAGGCAACUGCUUGGCCACUCCCGAUCGCUCCUCCCUGGACACCCGGUUACCAAAGUCAGCAAAGAAGAUGCGGUAAUCGCCGCCUGAUCUCCACAUGGUGACCACGACACUCUCACCAACACCUGCUUGACUGGUCAGUCUUCAGCACCGGGGGUGGGCAGGCAGGUGUUCUGUGUUUACGAGAAUUGCACAGGCUAAAUACAAACAUGGAACCAGAGUUCCAGUGAGAACACCUCACUCACAGCAGCCCAGGCUGCUCCCUACCAGGUGACGGAGCGCGCCCGGGCUGUGGGUGCCAGGGGCUGAGUGCUAGGGACUCGUCAUGAGUGGGGAUCCCCACGUUCCUGUCACUGCUGUCAAACAGAAGGUAAACAGUCUUAUGAAUGUAUUUCCUUAGGAAAACUUGUAAAAACUUUUAUUAGGAUAUCUAUUUAAUACUGAACUUUGGCCUACUUUGUGAUAGACUAUAAACAAAUUGAGGAAACCACUAUUUCUCACUUCUGUAUUUUCUCAAAAAUAAUUUUGUUACAGAGUUCAAUAUACUGUGUACCAUUGAUCUUCUAUUGUGAAAGCAAAGAAUUUCAUCAAAAUAUUUUAAAUUAUGAGUGAAAAUUGUGUAUGUGAAUUUUGCAGCUAUAAUAUUAAUCAAACUUUGUGUAAUUCUAAUCACAAAAUGACGUGCCUUAAGUGCCCCUCCAGCUGUGGGUUGGCAGUGUCCAGACAGGGAGGGCCCAUCACCGAAAUCCUGAACGAUUACUAGACCAAUUCUAUUAAAAACAUUUCAAGGCA
Molecule: non-coding RNA, 1884 nt
Filed under: Pan troglodytes (chimpanzee)
Lineage: Eukaryota; Metazoa; Chordata; Mammalia; Primates; Hominidae
Source: RNAcentral